UCAAGUUAUUAAGGGUGCAGGGCGGAUGCCUUGGCACUAGGAGCCGAUGAAGGACGUGAUAAGCUGCGAUAAGCUUCGGGGAGUUGCACGUAAACUUUGAUCCGAAGAUUUCCGAAUGAGGAAACUCACUUAGAGUAAUGUCUAAGUAUCAUUAAGUGAAUACAUAGCUUAAUGAGGGGAACUCAGGGAACUGAAACAUCUAAGUACCUGAAGGAAGAGAAAGAAAUUCGAUUCCGUAAGUAGCGGCGAGCGAACGCGGAUUAGCCCAAACCAAUAAAGUUUUCUUUAUUGGGGUUGCGGACAUAUCAUAACGAAGAGGUAUCGUAAUUGAAGAGGUUUGGAAAGACCCACCACAGAAGGUAAUAGUCCUGUAUGUUAAACGAGAAGACUUCAGAUAUGAUCCAGAGUACCACGGGACACGUGAAACCCUGUGGGAAGCAGGAGGGACCACCCUCCAAGGCUAAAUACUACCUAGUGACCGAUAGCGUAUAGUACCGUGAGGGAAAGGUGAAAAGAACCCCGGGAGGGGAGUGAAAUAGAACCUGAAACCCUGCACUUACAAGCUGUGGAAGCACAUUUCUUGUGUGACCGCGUACUUUUUGUAGAACGGGCCAACGAGUUACGUUAAGUAGCAAGGUUAAGCACUUAAGGUGCGGAGCCGUAGCGAAAGCGAGUUUUAACUGAGCGUUCAGUUACUUGACGUAGACCCGAAACCGGGCGACCUACCCAUGAGCAGGAUGAAGCGAAAGUAAAAUUUCGUGGAGGUCCGAACCCACGAGCGUUGAAAAGCUCGGGGAUGACUUGUGGGUAGCGGUGAAAUUCCAAUCGAGCCCGGAGAUAGCUGGUUCUCCCCGAAAUAGCUUUAGGGCUAGCCUCAAGGUGAGAGAUACGGAGGUAGAGCACUGAAUGUCCUAGGGGGUAUUGCACCUACCGAAGACUAUCAAACUCCGAAUGCCGUCAUCUUAUACUUGGGAGUCAGACUGUGGGUGAUAAGAUUCAUAGUCGAAAGGGCAACAGCCCAGAUCGUCAGCUAAGGUCCCUAAAUGUAAGUUAAGUGGUAAAGGAUGUGGGAUUGCACAGACAACCAGGAUGUUGGCUUAGAAGCAGCCACUCAUUCAAAGAGUGCGUAAUAGCUCACUGGUCGAGUGAUCCUGCGCCGAAGAUUUCCGGGGCUAAAACUUACUACCGAAGCUACGGCAUCAGUAAUGAUGGGUAGGGGAGCUUCCCAUACGGGUUGAAGCAUGACCGUAAGGACAUGUGGACAGUAUGGGAGUGAGAAUGUUGGCAUGAGUAGCGAGAUGUGGGUGAGAAUCCCACAGGCCGUAAACCCAAGGUUUCCAGGGGAAGGUUCGUCCGCCCUGGGUUAGUCGGGACCUAAGCUGAGGCCGAAAGGCGUAGGUGAUGGACAACAGGUUGAUAUUCCUGUACUACCGAUAACCGUUUGAGAGAAGGGAUGACACAGUAGGAUAAGCUAAGCACACUGUUGGUUAUGUGUGCCCAAGCAUUGAGGCAGUCAAAGUAGGCAAAUCCGCUUUGAUAAUGCUGGGAUGUGAUGGGGAGCGAAAUUUAGUAGCGAAGUAGCUGAUUUCACACUGUCAAGAAAAGUCUCUAUCGAGGUUAAAGGUACCCGUACCGCAAACCGACACAGGUGGGUGAGGAGAGUAUCCUAAGGCCAGCGAGAGAACUGUUGUUAAGGAACUCGGCAAAAUGACCCCGUAACUUAGGGAUAAGGGGUGCCACCAUCAGGUGGCCGCAGAGAAUAGGCCCAAGCGACUGUUUACCAAAAACAUAGGUUUCUGCUAAGUCGCAAGACGAUGUAUAGGAGCUGACGCCUGCCCGGUGCUGGAAGGUUAAGGGGAUCUGUUAGAGCAAUCGAAGCAGUGAACUUAAGCCCCAGUAAACGGCGGCCGUAACUAUAACGGUCCUAAGGUAGCGAAAUUCCUUGUCGGGUAAGUUCCGACCCGCACGAAAGGCGUAACGAUUUGGGCACUGUCUCAACAACAGACUCGGUGAAAUUGUAAUUCCGGUGAAGAUGCCGGAUACCUGCGACAGGACGGAAAGACCCCAUGGAGCUUUACUGUAGCUUGACAUUGGGUCUUGGUACUACAUGUACAGGAUAGGUGGGAGGCUUUGAAACCAGGACGCCAGUUUUGGCGGAGCCAUCCUUGGGAUACCACCCUUGUAGUACUGGGACUCUAACCAUAGGCCAUGAAUCUGGUCUUGGGACACUGUCAGGUGGGCAGUUUGACUGGGGCGGUCGCCUCCCAAAAGGUAACGGAGGCGCUCAAAGGUUCUCUCAGUACGGUCGGAAAUCGUACGUAGAGUGUAAAGGCAAAAGAGAGCUUGAUUGCAAGACAUACAGGUCGAGCAAGGAUGAAAAUCGGACUUAGUGAUCCGGUGGUUCUGCGUGGAAGGGCCAUCGCUCAACGGAUAAAAGCUACCCUGGGGAUAACAGGCUUAUCUCCCCCAAGAGUCCACAUCGACGGGGAGGUUUGGCACCUCGAUGUCGGCUCAUCACAUCCUGGGGCUGUAGUAGGUCCCAAGGGUUGGGCUGUUCGCCCAUUAAAGUGGUACGCGAGCUGGGUUCAGAACGUCGUGAGACAGUUCGGUCCCUAUCCGUCGCAGGCGUAGGAAAUUUGAGAAGACCUGUCCUUAGUACGAGAGGACCGGGAUGGACGUACCUCUGGUGUACCAGUUGUCCUGCCAAGGGCAUGGCUGGGUAGCUAUGUACGGAAUGGAUAAGCGCUGAAAGCAUCUAAGCGCGAAGCCAACUUCAAGAUAAGAUUUCCCACCGCAAGGGUAAGACUCCAGAAAGACUAUCUGGUUGAUAGGUCGAAGGUGUAAGUGCAGCAAUGUAUUUAGCUUAUCGAUACUAAUAGGUCGAGGACUUGACCAA
This 2896-nucleotide ribosomal RNA is filed under the name Clostridioides difficile. RNAcentral's name for it is "23S ribosomal RNA". It matches the Rfam family "Bacterial large subunit ribosomal RNA". Lineage: Bacteria; Bacillati; Bacillota; Clostridia; Peptostreptococcales; Peptostreptococcaceae. RNAcentral also lists the same sequence under 3 other names. The record is from RNAcentral.